UACGGAGGAUGCGAGCGUUAUCCGGAUUUAUUGGGUUUAAAGGGUGCGUAGGCGGGCUUUUAAGUCAGCGGUAAAAAUUCGGGGCUCAACCCCGUCCGGCCGUUGAAACUGGGGGCCUUGAGUGGGCGAGAAGAAAGCGGAAUGCGUGGUGUAGCGGUGAAAUGCAUAGAUAUCACGCAGAACCCCGAUUGCGAAGGCAGCCUUCCGGCGCCCUACUGACGCUGAGGCACGAAAGUGCGGGGAUCGAACAGG
Molecule: ribosomal RNA, 252 nt
Filed under: uncultured bacterium
Lineage: Bacteria
Description: partial 16S ribosomal RNA
Rfam family: Bacterial small subunit ribosomal RNA
Source: RNAcentral